GAUGAACGCUAGCUACAGGCUUAACACAUGCAAGUCGCGGGGCAGCAUGUUGGUUGCUUGCAACCGAUGAUGGCGACCGGCGCACGGGUGAGUAACGCGUAUCCAACCUACCUAUUACCACGGGAUAACCCGGCGAAAGUCGGACUAAUACCGUAUGUAGUCCUCCAAUGGCAUCAGCAGUGGACUAAAGGUUUGGCGGUAAUAGAUGGGGAUGCGUCCGAUUAGCUAGUUGGUGAGGUAAUGGCUCACCAAGGCUUCGAUCGGUAGGGGUUCUGAGAGGAAGGUCCCCCACACUGGAACUGAGACACGGUCCAGACUCCUACGGGAGGCAGCAGUGAGGAAUAUUGGUCAAUGGACGAGAGUCUGAACCAGCCAAGUAGCGUGCAGGAUGACUGCCCUAUGGGUUGUAAACUGCUUUUAUGCGGGGAUAAAGUGGGGAACGUGUUCUCUAUUGCAGGUA
Molecule: ribosomal RNA, 460 nt
Filed under: Prevotella sp. oral taxon 781
Lineage: Bacteria; Pseudomonadati; Bacteroidota; Bacteroidia; Bacteroidales; Prevotellaceae
Description: bacterial SSU rRNA
Rfam family: Bacterial small subunit ribosomal RNA
Source: RNAcentral